Molecule: long non-coding RNA, 10361 nt
Organism: Loxodonta africana (African savanna elephant)
Lineage: Eukaryota; Metazoa; Chordata; Mammalia; Proboscidea; Elephantidae
Exons: 4
Source: RefSeq, a predicted model, not a curated record
ACUCCAAAAUAGACGGUGGGUUCCACUGCGUAUUUAUCCAGCUGCUUCUUUAGAGGCUUCUCCAAAUCUACCCACCGGCGCUGGUUCUGCUUGUUGUAGUACCAGAGGCUGAAUCUUCACAUGCACAGUUCCCUAACAUCAAUUACGUUCAUCACGUCGGUCACCCAUCGCCGUUAACCGUGGCUGAACUUUUUACCAGUGGAAUAUUUGUUAACAUUUACUACGCACCAGGUGAGUUCUGAGACACUCAGGUAUGCUGUGGAUUGAAUCUUCACCACUCCCCUCAUGUACCAGCCAUUUUCAUCUGUGUGAAACGAGUGUAUUUCCAAGUACUGUCCCUGGACCACCGCCAUCAGAAUCACCUGGAGAGCAUCCUGGACCUUGUACCCCAGAGUUACUAAACCUCCAGUUAAUUCCUGUGCCCAUUAAAGUUUGAAAACCACUGCAUUUGCCACACUGCCCCAUCAUCACGCAGGAGAAAAGGCACACAACCAAUCCAUGCUGGAAAACCUGGAGACAAUAGGAUGCUACGAAGAACACAAAGACCCUGCAACACACAAGGGCCACCACUGAAGAAGUCUGAGCUGCACUGAAGACACUGGUGAAAAGCAAGGCUCCAGGAACUGACAGAAUACCAGUGGAGAUGUCUCAACAAAUGGAUGCAGCACUGGAAGUACUCACUUGUCUCUGCCAAGAAAUCUGGAAGACAGCUGCCUAGCCAACAGACUGGAAGAGAUCCAUAUUUAUGCCAUUCCCAACAAAGGUGAGCCAACCAAAUGCAGAAAUUAUUGAACAAUAUCACACACAACUAAAAUGUUGCAGAAGAUCAUUCAAAAGCAGCUGCAGCAGUAUAUCCACAGGGAACUGCCAGAAACUUAAGCCAGAUUCAGAAGAGGAGGUGAAACCAGGGAUGUCAUUGCUGAUGUCAGAUGGAUCCUGGCUGAAAGUAGAGAAUACCAGAAAAAUGUUUAUCUGUGUGACUAUGCAAAGGCAUUCAACUAUGUGGAUCAUAACAAAUUAUGGGUAACACUGUGAAGAACGAGAAUUCCAGAACACUUAAUUGUGCUCAUGAGGAACUUGUCCAUAGAUUAAGAGGCAGUUGUUUAAACAGAACAAAGUGAUACUGUGUGGUUUAAAUUCGAGAAAGGUGUGCGUCAGGGUUGUACCCUUUCACCACACCUAUUCAAUCUGCAUGCCAAGUAAAUAAUCUGAGACGCUGGAUGAUAUGAAGAAGAAUGAGGCAUCAGCAUUGAAGGAAGCCUCAUCAACAAUCUGCGUUAUGAAGAAGACAAAACCUUGCUUGCUGAAGAGGACUUGAAGUACUUACUGAUGAAGAUCAAAGACCACAGCCUUCAAUAUGGAUUACACCUCAACAUAAAGAAAACAAAAAUCCUCACAACUGGACCAAUAAGCAAAAUUAUGAUAAAUGGAGCAAAGUCUGAAGUUGUCAAGGAUUUCAUUUCACCUGGAUUCACAAUCAACACCCAUGGAAGCAGCAGUCAAGAAGUCAAAACACACAUUGCAUGGCGCAAAGCAGCUGCAAAAAACCUCUUUAAAGUGUUGAAAAGCAAAGAUAUCACCUUGAAGACUAAGGUGCGCCUGACCCAAGCCCUGGUAUUUUCAAUCAUCUUAUGUGCAUGUGAAAGCUGGAUGAUGAAUAAGGAAGACCAAAGAAGAACUGACGCCUUUGAAUUGUGGUGUUGGCAAAGAAUAUUAAAUAUAUCACGGACUGCCAAAAAGAAUGAAUAAAUCUGUCUUGGAAGAAGUACAACCAGAAGGCUCCUUGGAAGCAAGAAUGGCGACACGACAUCUCACAUACUCUGGACAUAUUAUCAGGAGGGAUCAGUCCCUGGAGAAGGACAUUAUGCUUGGUAAAGUAGAGGGUCAGUGAAAAAGAGGAAGACCCUCAACGAGGUGGAUUGACACGGUGGCUGCAACAAGGGGUUCAAGCAUACCAAGGAUUGUGAGGAUGGUGCAGGACCAGGCAGUGUCUCCUUCUGUUGUACAUAGGAUCACUAUGAGUCAGAACUGACUCGACAGCACCUAACAACAUAACAACACCACAAUUGAGUUUUAAUGGGAUUCCUCUUAAACGAUGUUCCUCAUCAACCACCAAGGCACAGAAAAAACAACCCACUGCAGACAAGUCAAUUCCAACUCAUAGUGACCCUAUAGGACAGAGUAGAACUGCCCCAUAGGAUUUCCAAGGAGCCACUGGUGGAUUCAAACUGCCGACCUUUUGGUUAGUAGUCAAUCUCUUAACUACUGUGCCACCAGGGAUUCAAGGCACAGAGGGCACCUCAUGAAGUAAAGGUGUGUAACUCAGAAACAUAUAGCCAGUAUUUUUUAGUGAGUCGGAAUCAACUCAGUGGCAAUGGGUUUGGCUUUUUUUUGUUUGUUUGCUUAAGUACCAUAAUGCCAGUUACAUUUUAUUCCAAGAAAUGCUAUGUAAAAAUAGAUAAGGCAAGAUAUUUUCAUUAUAUUUAAAAGUAGAAAGGGAUGAACUGGCAUGAGUAUGUAUGCGCUAUCGGGAAAACAGGAAUUAUUCUAUAGUCAUUAUCCUCUAUCCAAGGAAUACAAAUAAGUCUCAAUGAAAACAUAGAUAAUAAAGGUUAAAUGACAGAAACAUGACAAGCAGAUUUUAAAAUGGAAUAACAAUGUAUAGUGGCUCCGUCCUCAUGCUCAUCACUCAGACUGUAGAAGAAAAACACUUGUGUGGUAUGAGCUGCCACAGCGACCACUAAGAACACCUGCACGCACAGCGUUGAUCCGCAGCCCUCAGUGUGGCAGCCAGCACUUCAAGGGACUCACAGCUCUACCACUGUUUCUCGUUGGGACACAGAUUCUAACUCCGGGAGCCCCCCAAACUCAUCCAAAAGCAGUGCAACCAGAUAUUGCUUUGGAGAACCUCUCAGCAGGGAAUUCUCCUGGGGUAUAUUUCAUCAGCCUGAUACCUCCGACUCUGCCAGGAACAAGUCAUGCGAGGCUUCCUAUCCAACAGCUCUGCCCUAAGCGCUCCAGGCAUUCCCGGAGGGGUCUUACUGGUCUAAUUAGGAUUCACAUUUCUUCUUAUGCUUAUCCUUCUUUGCCUGAUGUGGCUUCCAAAGCACAACUUCAAGCAAAACAAUAAACUGCCAUAAUUAAAAUAAGUGACAAAAAAUUACCCUGAGAGUUCUUCAACAAUCUCCAGCAGAUCUGGGAGACUGCGGGCUGCCCAUCACCUGCUCAAGGUUAUACAACUGUGAGGAAAGAUGCUGGUCAAGGGCUCAGAAAAACUACUCCAGUUGUGGCUCCUGCCAUGUAGCUGUGAGCAAGUUACUUAACACCUCUGUGUCUCAGUUUACCCUUCUGUAAAAUAGAGAUGAAGAUAAUAGUACCUCACCCGUAGGAUCGUUGGAGGAACAAAAUAAGUGAAAACAUUUAAGGCACUUACAAGAGUAUCUCACACAUAGGAAGUCCUCAUACGAUAUUAGCUCUUAUUAUCAUAGUUUUCCAGUCCCCUUAAACAGUAUAAAAUUUCACAUGGUAUCUUAAUUAAAAAGAAAACAGUUGCCAUUGAGUCAAUUCUGAGUAAUGGUGACCCCACAUGUGUCAGAGUAGAACUGUGCUCCAGAGGGUUUUCAAUGGCUGUGACCUUUCGGACGCAGAUCACCAGGCCUUCCUUCUGAGGUACCUAUGGGUGGAUUUGAACCAACAAUCUUUCUGUUAGCAGCCAAGCACUUAACCAUUUAUGUCGCCCAGGGAUUCCUUCAUCUGACAUACUUGGUUUAACCUAAAUUGAUCUGGCAAGUCAAAAAAGUCUGAGCCAUCUAAAUAACUGUAACAUGACUAAGUCAAGACAAGUUUUUAUAUUCACAGAGAAAAUGAGCUUAUGCUAUCCAGCAUGAGAUUAGCCUGCUCGGUCAAAACUUAUUCAAAAUAACACAAUUACUCUGUCCUAUUCGUAAGUAAAUCUAGACACCGUAUACAAGUGAUCUCAACUGAGUUAGAAAGUGGUAAAUGUCCUUGAUAGAAGUUAUUUCUACUACAUGCUGCUAAUUCUCAUAUAGCAUUUGCGAUAUACAUAGGUUCUUCUAGUGAAAUUAGCAUCUUAAGCAAGAAUUUAAAUCAACUCUGGACAACCUGUCAGUUCACUGAAAGAGAAAGGAAAUUUACGUGACAUUUGUUUAUGAAUAGACUGCUUGGAGAACCAAAUAGGAAAAUAUUUGCUCAACCAGCAUAUUGUUAAGAAAGCGCUAUGAGUAAAGUCCAUGUUUAACAGAAAAGAAAAUACAGAGAAUGUAGGAUGUGUAUCUGACAAGAAGAAUGAAGGAGAGGGCUUAUAAUUAGCUGGGGAAUUUGGUUCAUAUAUAUGCAUGUGAAAGCUGGACAACAAAUAAGGAAGACCAAAGAAGAAAUGAUGCAUUUGAACUGUGGUGUUGGCAAAGAUUACUAAAUAUACCAUGGACUGCCAGAAGAACAAACAAAUCUGUCUUGGAGGAAGUACAGCCAAAAUGCUCCUUGGAAGCAGGGAUGGCAAGACUUUGUCUCAUGUAUUUUGGACAUUGCAGUGCAAUGAAUUACUUAAUAUGGCCCUCAUAACCACAGUCUUUGUAACUCCCAUCAAAUGAUUGAGUAGGACCAUGUUAAUAAGACAGAUGGAGCCCUAACAAGGGGAUUGGUUGGUUUUCCCAUCCCACUAGGCUUAAAAUAAGCCAUCCCAGAGGCAAGAUGGAAACCCUGGUAGCGUAGUGGUUAAGAGCUAGAGCUCUUAACUAAAAGGUCAGCAGUUCAAAUCCACCAGGUGCUCCCUGGAAACCCAAUGGGGUAUUUCUACUCUGUCCUAUAGGGUUACUAUGGGUCAGAAUCAACUCGACGGCAGUGGGUUUUAGUUUUAGAGGCAGGAGGAGAGGAUCUUACCACCACCAAGGAAGAAGAGCCAGGAGCGGAGCACAUCCUUUGGACCUGAGAUCCCUGCCUGGAACCAAGAGACUGAGAGACAGAGCUGUAACACUGAAGAUGGCAAGAAGCGGAGGCAGAGAAAUGGUGGCAGGAGAGACCAGCAGGAGAUGGCACAGUGGGCUUCCUGGCCAAAAGAGCAAGAAAGCUGAGUGCCGUUGGGCAGGAGACUUGCUGGUGGAGAAGAGUGCCUCUGGGCACUUACUGGAGCUAGGUUUGCCAACCCACAGAGCUAGUGCUGAGCACCUUCAGGCUGAGGCUUACUGGCAGAGUUGGGUACCUCUGGGCACUCAGAGGCAGAGCUAAAAGAGCUUUGUUACACUUGCCCGAGCAAGUAAGAGGCUGACGGGCCAGAGAGAGGCCAGCCUGUCUAUGGGCAUGGCUGAGAAGAGGCUAUCCUGAUGGAAGAACUGUAUCCUGAGCAUUCCUAAACCUGAAUUAUAACCUGUUACUUCCCCUAAUAAACCCCAUAACUAUGAGUAUGGUCUGUGAGAUCUGUGUGGCCAUUGCAAUGAAUUAUCUAACUCAGCAAAGAAAUGCUGUGGGAGGCACAGUUGGUGUCAGAAUUGGUAAAGAUGGCAGAGAGAAGUAUGUCUGACCUCUACCUCAAAGGAAUCAGCCUUGGGCUACUGAUCCUGAUUCUCCUUCCUCCUUGUGAAGUUAGAGGAGGUCAGACGCUGCUGCCGUGUUAUUUUUACAAACAUGUGAUCAGGAAGGACCAGUCUCUGGAGAAGCGUAUUAUGCUUGGUAAAGUACAGGGUCAGCAAAAAAGAAGACGACCUUCAACUAGAUGGACUGACACAGUGGCUGCAACGAAAGGCUCAAACAUAGCAAUGAUUGUGAGGAUGGCACAAGACUGCAGUGUUUCAUUCUGUUGUACAUGGGGUGGCUAUAAGUUGGAACCAAAUUAACAGCACCUAACAACAACAAUCGCCAAAGCGUUACCAUACACCUACUUCAUAGGUAGACACAAAGGUGCCGCCAGGAGGGGAAGACUGAUAUGGAUCUGUCAUCAGGGGAGCAAUGAAGAAAUUCACACUCACAACCUCCUGUCUUUCCUCCCUGAAAGGGUUUUUCCUUAAUAGCAGCUGAAAGGUUGGUGGUUCAAACCCACCCAGCAACUCCACAGAAGAAAUAGGCCCGGCAAUCUGCUUCUGUAAAGAUUACAGCCAAGAAAAUCCUGUGGAGAGACGUAAAAGACCUAUACAAAGAAAACUACAAGACACUACUGCAAGAAACCAAAAGAGACCUACGCAAGUGGAAAAACAUACCUUGGUCAUGGAUAGGAAGACUUAACAUUGCAAAAACGUCUGUUCUACCAAAAACCAUCUAUAGAUACAAUGCAAUUCCAAUCCAAAUUCCAACAACAUUUUUUAAUGAGAUGGAAAAGCAAAUCACCAACUUCAUAUGGAAGAGAAAGAGGCCCCAGAUAAGUAAAGCAUUACUGAAAAAGAAGAACAAAGUGGGAGGCCUCACUCUACCUGAUUUUAGAACCUAUUAUACUGCCACAGUAGUCAAAACAGCCUGGUACUGGUACAACAACAGGCACAUAGACCAAUGGAACAGAAUUAAGAAUCCAGUCAUAAAUCCAUCCACAUAUGAGCAGCUGAUAUUUGACAAAGGCUCAAAGUCAGUUAAACGGGGAAAAGACAGUCUUUUUAACAAAUGGUGCUGGCAUAACUGGAUACCCAUCUGCAAAAAAAUGAAACAAGACCCAUACCUCACACGAUGCACAAAAACUAACUCAAAAUGGAUCAAAGACUUAAAUAUAAAAUCGAAAACGAUAAAGAUAAUGGAAGAAAAAAUAGGGACAACACUAGGAGCCCUAAUACGUGGCAUGAACAAUAUAUAAAACAUUACUAAAAAUACAGAAGAGAAACUAGAUAACUGGGGAGCUCCUAAAAAUCAAACACCUUUGCUUAUCCAAAGACUGCACCAAAAGAGUAAAAAGAUUACCUACAGACUGGGAAAAAGUUUUUGGAUAUCACAUUUCCGAUCAGCGCCUGAUCUCUAAAAUCUGCAUGAUACUGCAAAAACUCCACUACGAAAAGACAAAUAACCCUAUUAAAAAAUGGGCAAAAGAUAUCAACAGGCACUUCACUAAAGAAGACACUCAGGCAGCGAACAGAUACAUGAGGAAAUGUUCACGAUUAUUAGCCAUUAGAGAAAUGCAAAUCAAAACUACAAUGAGAUUCCAUCUCACUCCAACAAGGCUGCCAUUAAUCCAAAAAACACAUAAUAAUAAAUGUUGGAGAGGUUGUGGAGAGACAGGAACACUUAUACACCGCUGGUGGGAAUGUAAAAUGGUACAACCACUUUGGAAAUCGAUUUGGCGCUUCCUUAAAAAGCUAGAAAUAGAACUACCAUACGAUCCAGCAAUCCCACUCUUUGGAAUAUAUCCUAGAGAAGUAAGAGCCUUUACAUGAACAGAUAUAUGCACACCCAUGUUCACUGCAGCACUGUUUACAACAGCAAAAAGAUGGAAGCAACCAAGGUGCCCAUCAAUGGAUGAAAAGAUAAAUAAAUUAUGGUAUAGUCACACAAUGGAAUACUACGCAUCGAUGAAGAACAAUGAUGAAUCCAUGAAACAUUUCAGAACAUGGAGGAAUCCGGAAGGCAUUAUGCUGAGUGAAAUUAGUCUAUUGCAAAAGGACAAAUAUUGUACAAGACCACUAUUACAAGAACUCAAGAAAUAGUUCAAACAGAGAAGAAAAUAUUCUUUGAUGGUUAUAAGAGGGGAAGGGAGGGAGAGGAGUUUUCACUAAUUAAAUAGUAGUUAAGAACUGUUUUAGGUGAUGGGAAAGACAACACACAAUACAGGAGAGGUCAGCACAACUGGAAUAAACCAAAAGCAAAGAAGUUUCCUGAAUAAACUGAAUGCUUUGAAGGCCUGCAUAGCAGGGGUGGGGGUUUAAGGACCAUGGUUUCAGGGUACAUCUAAAUCAAUCAGCACGAUAAAAUCUAUUAAGAUAACAUUCUACAUCCCAUUCUGGAGAGUGGCAUCUGGGGUCUUAAACUCUAGCAAGCAGCCAUCUAAGAUCCAUCAAUGGUCUCAACCCACCUGGAGCAAAGGAGAAUGAAGAACGCCAAAGGCACAAGGUAAUUAUGAACCCAAGAGACAGAAAGGGCCACAUAAACCAGAGACUACAUCAGCCUGAGACCUGAAGAACUAGAUGAUGCCUGGCCACAACUGAUGACUGCCCUGACAGGAAACACAACACAGAACCCCUGAGGGAGCAGGAGAGCAGUGGGAUGCAGACCCCAAAUUCUUGUAAAAAGACCAGACUUAAUGGUCUGACUGAGACUAGAAGAACCCUGGAGGUCAUGGUCCCCAGACCUUCUGUUAGCCCAAGACAGGAACCAUUCCCAAAGCCAACUCUUCAGACAGGGAUUGGACUGGACAAUGGGACAGAAAAUGAUACUGGUGAAGAGUGAGCUUCUUGGAUUCAAGUAGACAGAUGAGCCUAUGUUGGCAUCUCCUGUCUGGAGGGGAGAUGGGAGGGCGGAGAGGGGCUCAGAAGCUGGCCGAAUGGGCACGAAAAGAGAAGAGUGGAGGGAAGAAGUGUGCUGUCUCACUAGGGGGAGAGCAAUUAGGAGUAUAUAGCAAGAUGUGUAUAAAUUUUUGUAUGAGAGACUGACUUGAUUUAUAAACUCUCAUUUAAAGCACAAUAAAAAUUAAAAAAGAAAGAAAGAAAAGAAAAUCCUGUGGAGCAGUUCUAUUCUGUAACACAUGCGGCAGCCAUGAGUUGGGGGUCAACUCAACAGCAGCUAACAACAACAACAAAGUUGUUUUAGGGAGGGAGUGAAUAAUCCACAAAUGGCCUUUUCUGAGAUCUGAAGAUGAGGGCCACUGAAAAGGGGCAUUUCGGGGUAGGGAGGUAGCAUCUUUCACAGGUAAAUUAUUUUCUUAAAAAUAUGAAGGUCUUGAAUUGUUCACAAAUGUCACUUCCUGCCAGUACCUUCACUUUUGGGAAAGAAAGACUGAGGAGGAAAGGUCCUGUUAUGCCAAGAGAAGGAGAAAGAUUGCAUCAUUCGGGAGGCCUCCAGGCCCAUGGCCAGAGCUCAUGGAUAGAUCUGGGGGAUCCAUAAGCCUCCCGAAAUUGUACCCAAAAUUCUACAUGUUUAUUAGAUUCUCAAAAAGCCCAUGACCCCCAUAAAUUUAAAAGUCAAAAUUCAAGCAGAAGUCUGACAAAUGUGAACUCAAAUUCUGGCUCUUCUAACAGCUGUGUGAUCCUGAGCAAAUCAACCAACCUUUCAGAACCUCAGUAACCUCACCUAAAAUGGAAAAGAUAAUGCCUAACUCACUGUGAGGAUUAAAUAAGGUAAUGCAGGCUAAGCUUCCAGCCCAAUAAUGUUCAUCCACCCAAAUGGAGAGCAGCAGGAGGCCACUGAAGCUUCUAGUAUUAUUAUAAGAAAUGGACUCUGAAACCACACACCAAGGACAAUGACAGAACUGAGAGAGAGCCCCCAAAACGCUGUAAGUUCCCCCAUGUCUGCCAUUUUGUAACUCAACUCAGAGACCUCUCCAUAUGAGCAACUUCACGCUUAAGUCCAUAUGGUCAUGAGACUACCCUAUUGUGGCAAAUUAAUGGCGAGUGAGAUUAAAGGACAUUUUUGAUCUCUCUUAACCGAAAAACUCAAUAAUAUAAGAAAACCAACUAAGACCUUAAAUGUAUUAGACAUUAAGCUAAGGUUGGGAGUUGCUGGAUGGUGCAAAUGAUUAGCAAGCUCAGGUGCUAACCAAAAGGUUGGAGGUUCUAGUACAAGCAGAGGCACAUCAGAAGGCAUGGCAAUCUACUUCCAAAAGGUCAGUCGUUGAAAACCUUAUGAAGCCAGUUCUACUCUGACAAACAUGGGGUUGCCAUGAGUUGGAGUUGGUGGCAACUGGGUUGGUUUGUUUGUUUUUGGUUAAGCUAAAGUUGAGUAAUACUCCAUAAUACUUCAUUUCUUUAAAUAAAAAGGUUUCCAAAUUCUGUAAUUACUAUGUGAUGAUGUAUUAUGUACUUUAAAAUGCACAGUAUAUCCAUGAUUCCAUGUGUCAUUCCUAUACUAAAGUAUGUGGCCAAUUCUUAAUUUUCUAGGCCAAAUAAAAAAAGCAAUAGAAAAUCUAAAAUUUGCAAAAAAAUCCUUGAUCAUUUAUCAUUGGUUUUAGAAGGUGGAAAGCUUUAUGUAGGUAGGGAGACCAAUCUAACAUUUAAAUUUGCUUUCAGUAGUCCAACGGAUCCAACUGAAAAUAUUUACUGAGCUUGUCUAUACCUCUUACCACCGAAAAAAAUCCUAUUUGUUUUAUAGCAUACAUACCCGAAUGCAUAACUACUUAGCCCAAAAUGUUUACAGGUUUUAUACUUUUACCUUACACAUAUUUCAGCUAUUUUUAAAGUCCAAAUGGAAACAGCUAGCACAGAAGGAAAUCCACAUGAAAU